GAACUUACCUGGCAGGGGACAUAUGAACAGGAAGGUAGUUUUCUGAGUGCAAGGUUUAUCCUUUGCACUCCAGAUGUGCUGACCCCUACAAUUUCCCCAAAUGUGGGAAACUCAAUUGCAUUAUUUGUGAGAGUAGGAGAGCAUUCUUGCUCUCCCC
Sorex fumeus (smoky shrew) is the source of this 157-nucleotide small nuclear RNA. RefSeq annotates it as U1 spliceosomal RNA. The transcript has a single exon. The record is from RefSeq and is a predicted model, not a curated record. Lineage: Eukaryota; Metazoa; Chordata; Mammalia; Eulipotyphla; Soricidae.